ACGACGUAGAUAGGUUGGGUGUGUAAGUGUAGUGAUACAUUGAGCUAACCAAUACUAAUUGCCCGAGAGGCUUAACCAU
RNAcentral lists this ribosomal RNA (79 nucleotides) under Pasteurella multocida. RNAcentral describes it as "partial 23S ribosomal RNA". It matches the Rfam family "Bacterial large subunit ribosomal RNA", at positions 2847 to 2925 of the family's 2925-position model. The record is from RNAcentral. Lineage: Bacteria; Pseudomonadati; Pseudomonadota; Gammaproteobacteria; Pasteurellales; Pasteurellaceae.